GACGAACGCUGUCGGCGUGCUUAACCCAUGCAAGUCUUACUGAAAGGCCUUGCUUUUGUGCGGUGCAUGCGUGGCGAACGGGUGAGUAAUACGCUAGUAACCUGUCCUUUACUUUGUGAUAACUUCUGGAACCUGGUGCUACUUCCGCUUCGUAGCUCCUGCUGCUUGGUGGUGGUUGUAAAGUUUCGGCGGUUGGGGCUGGACUCGCGGCUUAUCAUCUUGUUGGUGGGGUAGUGUCUUACUAAGUCUUUGACGGGUAGCCGGCCUGAGAGGGUGACCGGCCACAUAGGGACUGAGAUAAGGCCCAGACUCCUACGGGGGGCAGCAGGGGGGAAUAGUCCACAAUGGGCGGAAGCCUGAUGCAGUAACGCCGCGUGUGGGAGGGCGGCCUUCGGGUUGUGAACCGCUUUCGCCUGUGACGAAGCGUGAGUGACGGUAAUGGGUAAAGAAGCACCGGCUAACUACGUG
Molecule: ribosomal RNA, 468 nt
Filed under: uncultured bacterium
Lineage: Bacteria
Description: partial 16S ribosomal RNA
Rfam family: Bacterial small subunit ribosomal RNA
Source: RNAcentral